CGGGAAGAAUCAUUCUGUCUCAUAUCUUUUCCGCCUCCGAUUGCACACGCCGAGAGAGCUUCCGUAAGAGGUCGGCGGGCGGAGUCGCGUCUAAGCGUGCUCUGCCAUCACCGAAGCCUCGCACCCUCGGGGCGGGAGGGGAGAGUCUAUGGGAUCCUGUGC
Non-coding RNA from Caenorhabditis elegans, 162 nucleotides. The record is from Ensembl. Lineage: Eukaryota; Metazoa; Nematoda; Chromadorea; Rhabditida; Rhabditidae.